Molecule: ribosomal RNA, 734 nt
Filed under: uncultured bacterium
Lineage: Bacteria
Description: bacterial SSU rRNA
Rfam family: Bacterial small subunit ribosomal RNA
Source: RNAcentral
AGUCGAACGAACUUCUUUAUCACCGAGUGCUUGCACUCACCGAUAAAGAGUUGAGUGGCGAACGGGUGAGUAACACGUGGGCAACCUGCCCAAAAGAGGGGGAUAACACUUGGAAACAGGUGCUAAUACCGCAUAACCAUAGUUACCGCAUGGUAACUAUGUAAAAGGUGGCUAUGCUACCGCUUUUGGAUGGGCCCGCGGCGCAUUAGCUAGUUGGUGGGGUAAAGGCUUACCAAGGCAAUGAUGCGUAGCCGAACUGAGAGGUUGAUCGGCCACAUUGGGACUGAGACACGGCCCAAACUCCUACGGGAGGCAGCAGUAGGGAAUCUUCCACAAUGGGCGAAAGCCUGAUGGAGCAACGCCGCGUGGGUGAAGAAGGUCUUCGGAUCGUAAAACCCUGUUGUUAGAGAAGAAAGUGCGUGAGAGUAACUGUUCACGUUUCGACGGUAUCUAACCAAAAAGCCACGGCUAACUACGUGCCAGCAGCCGCGGUAAUACGUAGGUGGCAAGCGUUAUCCGGAUUUAUUGGGCGUAAAGGGAACGCAGGCGGUCUUUUAAGUCUGAUGUGAAAGCCUUCGGCUUAACCGGAGUAGUGCAUUGGAAACUGGGAGACUUGAGUGCAGAAGAGGAGAGUGGAACUCCAUGUGUAGCGGUGAAAUGCGUAGAUAUAUGGAAGAACACCAGUGGCGAAAGCGGCUCUCUGGUCUGUAACUGACGCUGAGGUUCGAAAGCGU